UGCUGAGGAGCAGAAAGGAGGUAGAACAUGAGAAACAAGAAGGAGGUAGAACAUGAGGAACAGGAAGGAGGUAGAACAUGAGGAAUAAGAAGGAGGUAGAACAUGAAGAAGGCGGUAGAACAUGAGGAAGGAGGUAGAACAUGAGGAAUAAGAAGGAGGUAGAACAUGAGGAAGGAGGUAGAACAUGAGGAAUAAGAAGGAGGUAGAACAUGAGGAAUAAGAAGGAGGUAGAACAUGAGGAAUAAGAAGGAGGUAGAACAUGAGGAAGGAGGUAGAACAUGAGGAAUAAGAAGGAGGUAGAACAUGAGGAAGGAGGUAGAACAUGAGGAAUAAGAAGGAGGUAGAACAUGAGGAAUAAGAAGGAGGUAGAACAUGAGGAAUAAGAAGGAGGUAGAACAUGAGGAACAGGAAGGAGGUAGAACAUGAGGAAGGAGGUAGAACAUGAGGAAUAAGAAGGAGGUAGAACAUGAGAAACAAGAAGGAGGUAGAACAUGAGGAAGGAGGUAGAACAUGAGGAAGGAGGUAGAACAUGAGGAAUAAGAAGGAGGUAGAACAUGAGGAAUAAGAAGGAGGUAGAACAUGAGGAAUAAGAAGGAGGUAGAACAUGAGGAACAGGAAGGAGGUAGAACAUGAGGAAGGAGGUAGAACAUGAGGAAUAAGAAGGAGGUAGAACAUGAGAAACAAGAAGGAGGUAGAACAUGAGGAAGGAGGUAGAACAUGAGGAAGGAGGUAGAACAUGAGGAAUAAGAAGGAGGUAGAACAUGAGAAACAAGAAGGAGGUAGAACAUGAGGAAUAAGAAGGAGGUAGAACAUGAGGAACAGGAAGGAGGUAGAACAUGAGGAACAGGAAGGAGGUAGAACAUGAGGAAUAAGAAGGAGGUAGAACAUGAGGAAUAAGAAGGAGGUAGAACAUGAGGAAGGAGGUAGAACAUGAGGAAGGAGGUAGAACAUGAGGAAUAAGAAGGAGGUAGAACAUGAGGAAGGAGGUAGAACAUGAGGAAUAAGAAGGAGGUAGAACAUGAGGAAUAAGAAGGAGGUAGAACAUGAGGAAUAAGAAGGAGGUAGAACAUGAGGAACAGGAAGGAGGUAGAACAUGAGGAAGGAGGUAGAACAUGAGGAAUAAGAAGGAGGUAGAACAUGAGAAACAAGAAGGAGGUAGAACAUGAGGAAGGAGGUAGAACAUGAGGAAGGAGGUAGAACAUGAGGAAUAAGAAGGAGGUAGAACAUGAGAAACAAGAAGGAGGUAGAACAUGAGGAAUAAGAAGGAGGUAGAACAUGAGGAACAGGAAGGAGGUAGAACAUGAGGAACAGGAAGGAGGUAGAACAUGAGGAAUAAGAAGGAGGUAGAACAUGAGGAAUAAGAAGGAGGUAGAACAUGAGGAAUAAGAAGGAGGUAGAACAUGAGGAACAGGAAGGAGGUAGAACAUGAAGAAGGAGGUAGAACAUGAAGAAGGAGGUAGAACAUGAGGAAGGAGGUAGAACAUGAGGAAGGAGGUAGAACAUGAGAAACAAGAAGGAGGUAGAACAUGAGGAAUAAGAAGGAGGUAGAACAUGAGAAACAAGAAGGAGGUAGAACAUGAGGAAUAAGAAGGAGGUAGAACAUGAGGAACAGGAAGGAGGUAGAACAUGAGGAACAGGAAGGAGGUAGAACAUGAGGAAUAAGAAGGAGGUAGAGCAUGAAGAAGGAGGUAGAACAUGAGGAACAGGAAGGAGGUAGAACAUGAGGAAUAAGAAGGAGGUAGAGCAUGAAGAAGGAGGUAGAACAUGAGGAAGGAGGUAGAACAUGAGGAACAAGAAGGAGGUAGAACAUGAGGAACAAGAAGGAGGUAGAACAUGAGGAAUAAGAAGGAGGUAGAACAUGAAGAAGGAGGUAGAACAUGAGGAAUAAGAAGGAGGUAGAACAUGAGGAACAGGAAGGAGGUAGAACAUGAGGAAUAAGAAGGAGGUAGAGCAUGAAGAAGGAGGUAGAACAUGAGGAAGGAGGUAGAACAUGAGGAACAAGAAGGAGGUAGAACAUGAGGAACAAGAAGGAGGUAGAACAUGAGGAAUAAGAAGGAGGUAGAACAUGAAGAAGGAGGUAGAACAUGAGGAAUAAGAAGGAGGUAGAACAUGAGGAACAGGAAGGAGGUAGAACAUGAGGAAUAAGAAGGAGGUAGAGCAUGAAGAAGGAGGUAGAACAUGAGGAACAAGAAGGAGGUAGAACAUGAGGAACAGGAAGGAGGUAGAACAUGAAGAAGGAGGUAGAACAUGAAGAAGGAGGUAGAACAUGAAGAAGGAGGUAGAACAUGAGGAACAAGAAGGAGGUAGAACAUGAGGAAGGAGGUAGAACAUGAGGAACAAGAAGGAGGUAGAACAUGAGGAACAAGAAGGAGGUAGAACAUGAGGAACAGGAAGGAGGUAGAACAUGAAGAAGGAGGUAGAACAUGAAGAAGGAGGUAGAACAUGAGGAACAAGAAGGAGGUAGAACAUGAGAAACAAGAAGGAGGUAGAACAUGAGGAAUAAGAAGGAGGUAGAACAUGAGGAACAGGAAGGAGGUAGAACAUGAGGAACAAGAAGGAGGUAGAACAUGAGGAACAGGAAGGAGGUAGAACAUGAAGAAGGAGGUAGAACAUGAGGAACAGGAAGGAGGUAGAACAUGAGGAACAAGAAGGAGGUAGAACAUGAGGAACAGGAAGGAGGUAGAACAUGAGGAACAAGAAGGAGGUAGAACAUGAGGAACAGGAAGGAGGUAGAACAUGAAGAAGGAGGUAGAACAUGAGGAAGGAGGUAGAACAUGAAGAAGGAGGUAGAACAUGAGGAAGGAGGUAGAACAUGAGGAAUAAGAAGGAGGUAGAACAUGAGGAACAGGAAGGAGGUAGAACAUGAGGAACAAGACGACAUGGUCAUCAAUAUCCCCCCCACAUGUGAUGUCUAUGAGUCUAUAUCCAAAAUAGUGAUCAAGGGCCAUAACUCUGUUAAAUAUUAUCACACAGGUCUCAUUUUCGAACUUGAUCAAGGUGUCCAUGGUGUGAAGCUACACACUAAAUUGUCAGCUGUAAAAUUAAACGUUCACUCACAUCCUGUGCAUCCCCUGGGGGCUAAGCCCCCCCCUGUCCUGAAAACCUAGUGCCGCCCCUGCAGCAGUUUACAGCUUGUCAGCUGCAGUCGCGUUCUGUCGCUAAUUACGGGCUAACUGUGAAUGCUGGCUCAAAAGUAACCGGAUGGUGAGUGGCAGGAUGAGUCACGGAAGAGGUCGGUAUGUUUAAUGUUGCUGUCGAGUGAAAAAUGACCGAGAAACGGCAGUUUUAAAAUCGCUGUGUGAGAAGCAGCACAAGGCCUAAAUUUGCAUUGAGCCUUAUGGAGGGCGAUUCAGGUUCCCACGUCAAUUAAGGGCUGGCGCGUGACGUAACAAUGUGCCAGAUGAACAAUGUCGGACUUAUAUGAAUGUAGAGAGUCUUUACUAUAGUCUGUGAAAGGAUUGUUCUUGUAGUAUGUACCGUUUGGCCAGGAUGGCGAUUUAAGGCAAUAAAAACGGACAGAUUUUGUCCCUCUCCACACUCUAGCACCAGAGGAGCACAUGCUCUAACAUGGGAUUUUUUGCUCAACCUAGGGGUUUUUGGAGGCUCCUGUAUGGAAAACCAUAAAUCCCACCAUCACAAUAUGUACAUGCCUGAAAAGAAGAGAGUUGGGGCUUUUUUUAAGACUAAAAUGAAGUCUGUAGGUGAAAGUAUGGCGAAGCAGUAGCGUUUGGAAAACAGUGCAUGACAUGGUCAUCAAUAUCCCCCGCCACGUGAUGUGUAUGAGUCUAUAUCCAAAAUAGUGAUAAAGGGCCAUAACUCUGUUAAAUAUUAUCGCACAGGUCUCAUUUUCGAACUUGAUCAAGGUGUCCAUGGUGUGAAGCUACACACUAAAUUUCGUAAUCCUAACUGUAAUAGUCUCCGAGAAAAGCUGUCCCCUUCAUCUCGGAUGGAUGCACAGACGGACGGAGGCCAAACCUAUGUCCCCCUUUUCCACUUCGUGGAGGCGGGGGAUAAUAAGAAGGAGGUAGAGCAUGAGGAAAAAGAAGGAGGUAGAACAUGAAGAACAAGAAGGAGGUAGAACAUGAAG
Long non-coding RNA from Acanthochromis polyacanthus (spiny chromis), 4087 nucleotides. RefSeq lists it as uncharacterized. The transcript has 3 exons. Lineage: Eukaryota; Metazoa; Chordata; Actinopteri; Pomacentridae. The record is from RefSeq and is a predicted model, not a curated record.